CGCGCAGGCGGUCGUACAAGUCGCGUGUGAAAGCCCCCGGCUCAACUGGGGAGGGUCACGCGAUACUGUUCGACUCGAAGGCAGGAGAGGGAAGUGGAAUUCCCGGUGUAGUGGUGAAAUGCGUAGAUAUCGGGAGGAACACCAGUGGCGAAGGCGACUUCCUGGCCUGUUCUUGACGCUGAGGCGCGAAAGCUAGGGUAGCAAACG
This 207-nucleotide ribosomal RNA is filed under the name uncultured bacterium. RNAcentral's name for it is "partial 16S ribosomal RNA". It matches the Rfam family "Bacterial small subunit ribosomal RNA", at positions 568 to 774 of the family's 1533-position model. The record is from RNAcentral.